RNAcentral lists this long non-coding RNA (840 nucleotides) under Anthonomus grandis grandis. RNAcentral's name for it is "uncharacterized LOC126748709". The record is from RNAcentral. Lineage: Eukaryota; Metazoa; Arthropoda; Insecta; Coleoptera; Curculionidae.
UUGCUUCCUGAAUGAUUUAAUUAUCACCGAUAAUUAUUAUUUAAAUCGAUUUUGCCACUAUUUGAGUGCUCAGAGCAAUCAUAGUGCUUAGUGUUAACUCCGUUGUCUAUAAUAUUCGGUUCUACACUAAUUUUGAGUUCAAAAACAAACAUUUUAGUGUUUGAUUUUCAAUUUCUAGUAAACUGUCCAGUGAUUUCUUUCCUCUAUAAUUUCUUUUUUAGCUGCUGCAGUAUCUGUUUACGAUAAUUAUGGCAACACUAAGCCAACAAAAUGCAAUCUGCGAAGUCUGUGAGAAGGAAUUUUCAAGCACAUUUACGAGAAACAGACAUCUUUAAGAAGUUCCACCCAGAAUUUUUUGGCCAGGAAUACAAGAAACACAUUAUAUGUCCAAUGUGUACCAACGAUACCUAGACAUUUUCUUAUUUUAAUAGUUUAAACAAACAUUUUUGUUUAAUAUUCACAAAAUAAAGAUUAAACAAUCAUUUUUAAAUUUUAGGAAUUUCAAAGAAUAUACCUCUUAUAGAGAACAAAGUAAGAGGGAAGUCGAUUAUGCUUGUCAGACCCAAAAUAAAUUUAAGAAUGGAGAGGAACAUAUAUUUUACAAUUGUAACAGGAGCAACAUCAGAGGAUUUAAUAGCUCUUGUAAAAUGAGAAACAUUAAGUCGGGGGGAAACAUAUGCAUCAAGGGACAUGCCCGUCAAGAAUUUUAGUUAAGGUUUAAAGAAUAAUAUUGCAUUAAUUUUUAUAUUCCUAGACUAAUUCAUAAUUUUAAUCCUUUGUAGGAUCAGUUGUGAUCAGAAGUGCUAGUUUACAGACCAAGCUUGAUGGAUUUAGUUUCUU